GCCGCCGCGGUAAUACCGGCGGCUCGAGUGGUGGCCACUAUUACUGGGCUUAAAGCGUUCGUAGCUGGUUUGUUAAGUCUCUGGGGAAAUCUUCCGGCUUAACCGGAAGGCGUCUCAGGGAUACUGGCAGACUAGGGACCGGGAGAGGUGAGAGGUACUCCAGGGGUAGGAGUGAAAUCCUGUAAUCCUUGGGGGACCACCUGUGGCGAAGGCGUCUCACCAGAACGGCUCCGACAGUGAGGGACGAAAGCUGGGGGAGCAAACCGGAUUAGAUACCCGGGUAGUCCCAGCUGUAAACGAUGCGCGUUAGGUGUAUCGGUGACCACGAGUCACCGAGGUGCCGAAGAGAAAUCGUGAAACGUGCCGCCUGGGAAGUACGGUCGCAAGGCUGAAACUUAAAGGAAUUGGCGGGGGAGCAC
This 419-nucleotide ribosomal RNA is filed under the name uncultured archaeon. Its description in RNAcentral is "bacterial SSU rRNA". It matches the Rfam family "Archaeal small subunit ribosomal RNA", at positions 461 to 879 of the family's 1478-position model. The record is from RNAcentral.